This is a long non-coding RNA of Gorilla gorilla gorilla (western lowland gorilla), 221 nucleotides long. RefSeq lists it as uncharacterized. The record is from RefSeq and is a predicted model, not a curated record. The transcript is spliced from 3 exons. Lineage: Eukaryota; Metazoa; Chordata; Mammalia; Primates; Hominidae.
AGAAUGCAUAUUGACACAGCUAGUGUCUGAAAGAGAAAACUGCAUGAGUAAAUUUCAAUAGCGUAUUUGGUAACCGAACCUGAAAGUCCCUUUUAGAAAAAAAAACAACUAUUCUGGAUAUGCUUUUCACUUAGAGAAAACACCAAUAAUGAUCCAUGUGUCACGAGACCAAAAUCAAGGUACCAAUAGGGCCAGGUUUAUUUAUGGAGGGUCUACAGGAG